CCUGCGGGUGGCUUUUGAAUCGCACCUGUUCAGCAAGUAAACGUUGAUCGGGAGGGUUUUUUUUUUUCAGCACGUAAACGUUGACGAGGAGUAGGAGAGUCGGAGCUGCCUGGGAGUAGGAGAGCGGUACCGAGGCGGAGGCGGAGGCCGAUGCCUGCUUGCUUGGCACAGACGGCCUCUGUGCGUGCUUCGGCCGUGUACACGCCACCACGAGCGGCAGCCAGGCAGAGAACCACGCUGGUUCACGAACGUACAAAUGUCCUCAUCCAUACUAUACCUAGCUCGGCUCCUAAGUGGUGUGUUGGAAGCCAAAGGGUCAAAGAGACGAGACCAAACGGCUACCUACCUCUGCUCGAAGAAAGAAGACCGGCCAUCUAGACCAAUACUAGGUGUUUAAGCCAAAAGCUAGACGAUGGCAUGCAUAUUAUUAUAUACAGAAGGGAGGUAGAGCACGUACCUUCAUACAAACACAACCUCUGCCGGCCACUACCUGUGCCUAGAGUAGUGUGCUAAGUGUCAGAUCCGAAAGCUCUACGUUCGCUAAAAAAAAGGCUGUUUCCCAAUCAGCUUAUGCUGCUAGGGGAUUCAAAGGCUAGGAAAAGUGAGCUUUGAGAGAGCGGCCGGCCGUAGUUGUCCGCGUUAUGUUCCAGCUAGAUGGUCAACCUCUUACCACAACGGGACGGGGGCGGCCAAUGGCCCGUCUCGAAAGCCGGCAGCCGGUUACAAAGACGGGUUGUCAACCACAGGUUGUGGCCGCCUCUCUUUUGCUGGAACCUGUUCUUGAUUUCGAUAGUUCUAGGAUUACCACACCGCUGCGCACUGCGGGACGGCCAAUGCCAUGUACUCGAAAGAAAUGUAGCGUGGUCGGUUGCAUCGUGAACCACAGCUGGUGGUCGCCUCCUUUUUGCGUUGAGUUCGGUAGCUGCAAAAGAAAUCAAGGUAGUGGUGUGUUGGUGGUACCUCCCCGUCGUCGUCCCCGUUGUCGUCCCGGUCGUCGUCCCGGUUGUCCUUCCGGUCGUCGACCUCCCCGUUGUCCUCCCGGUCGUCGUCCUCACCGCGGUUGUUACCCUUCUCACCACCAACGACACCGUCCCCGUAACCGUUCACGUCACCGACCUCACCGUCUCAGUUACCGUUCUCACCACCGUCGUCAACGUCGACGGCGACGUCGUCGUCACCCUCUUGACCGACAACGUGACCGUAGUUGUGAAACUCGUCACCGUCUUGGACACCAUGCUCGUUACCGUCGUUACCCUCGUCGCCACGGUCCGCGUUGUUGUAGUUGUUACCACCCUCACCGGCGUCCUGGUCACCGUUAAAGUCGUCACCGUUGUUGUUAACGUCGUGCUUACCGUUGUCACCGUCGUCGUACCCCUUACCGUCACCGCCGACACCGAUGUUGUCCAAGUCACCGUCGUCGUCCUCCACGUCCCCGUCCCCGUCGUCGUUGUCCACGUCCCCGUCGUCGUUGUCCCCGUCCCCGUCCUCGGCACCCUCGAUGCAGACGUCAAAGUUGUUACCGUCGGAGUAACCGCCGUCGUCACCGUGUACACCGUAGUUCUGACCGUCGUCGUCACCGCAGUUACCGUUGUCCCGGUUGUCGUUACCGCCCUCGUCGCUGUUACCGUCACCGCCGUCACCGUCUUCCUACUCGCCACCGUCCUCGUCCUCGCCACCGACGCGGUGGCCGAUUGGUAGUUAUACGUAAACUAUGGACACAGGAUACGAAACUCAAAGUUCGGUGAGUGGUGAAGAGAACAUAAGCUUCUGUUUCUCCCGCGAUUUUAGGGAUACGAGCUCUUAUGUUGGAAGCCGUUAAAUCAACGGCUGCCGAAACAAUUACUCUAUUAACGCCGUGUAGCAGCCUUGGACUCGACCCGACCACUAAAGACGCUCCUACUAAAUAAACAUAGACUCCCGCUCGUAAAACAAUGGUAACGAUUUCUUGGUUGCUUCAGUCGUUGUCUACUAUUGGUCAAAGACCUAAAUUAAGUCUAUUGUUUAACCAAACGACUAUUCAUAUGACUCUUAGUUUACCACGGCAGAAUAAAACUUCUCAAACAACUGUCUCAUAUAUUUUAUGGUUCAACCGUUUUAGUUACACUAACUAGUCGUUCGAAUACCCACGAAUCAUUGGUGGGAAAGAAAUACCCUCUUCUUUUUACCUCCAAUAAACAUCUCCUUAUGAUAUUUACCAUGUGAGUUCAAUUACACCAUAGCGCCCUACUCUAAGAAUUCUUUCGAUUAACACUAUAUACAGACUUAACCGUAAACCGAUGUCACGCGCUAUUGUCAGAAGACGUUUACCACAUGACCUUACCUUCUCUCUUGAACACAGGUAGUAGAAUGAAAUGAUUUCCGACGUUUCAAGGAGCCGCCUGCCGAUCGCUACGACUUUAUAAGGCCAAGUGGGUUCUUCUACCCAUAAAUCGUCAAAAGGUCGCCUGCAAAAUACAAGUGCCCGAUGUAUAAGAACCCCGAGCAACCAGUAACUCUCUUGACCGUGAAAUAUAACGCAUAUAAAAGUUUGUAAAAGACGGUGCAAAAUAACUUUCCUAAAUGCGGUUGAGAGUACUUGUAGUAGAGAAACGACUCUAGGAACUAUGUAUACAUUUCGCCUCCAGACGAAGGGCCUCCGUAUAAGCUCCUUUUGACAUGCUUCACCGUCGGAUUAAACUCGAUUACUAUAGGUUCGUGGUUUUCUGAUCAUACCAUCGUCGCUACUACGAUUCCUACUUACCUCUGAAUGACGACAAAUGACUUUUUCCGAAAGUGGGGCGAAAUAUAUAUUUCGUUGCUAGUAGCUGAACGACGACAAACUUGUUACGAAGGUCAGAGUCAACCUGCGAGUAACGACAAACGGUAGGCAGUCGACGGCCAUAGUCCACCUGACUUCAAGCUGCCAUUUACUGUCAAGUUUCUACUACCGACCUGAAGGAAAAGCGUUAUCUCCUAGCACUAUACCACCAACUCGGAUACAGUCGGUGACCAAGGUGAGUCGGCUCUUCCGGUCCGUAUUCCAGAAGUGGAAGUCGUAGGUCAUUCUCACAAUGCCGAACGUUAAAUCCAAGAUCAAGGUCUAGUCGACGGGACGGUGGUGAUCGUGGUGUUCGUCUGUCCCGACGUUUGGGAAUUGCCAAGCUACGUGCCUGAUAUGUAAAGAGGCAUUUACGGACACAUGACCAACAACGACCUGAGACCCCUGCGAAGGUUAGAACAGUUUUGUAGAACGUCUGUCUCGAACGUUCGAAAACAACGACCCUUGUCAGGAGAGCAGUCCUAUAUAAGAAGUAUGUCAUGAAUGAUACCCCACGGUCGCGUUGUAGUAAGGCUGUAAGUCUGUAAUGCCGAAGGAGGGUGUGUAGUUUGUGACAGAGACGGUUACAUUGGUACGCACGCAGGGAACGAAGGACCUCAUAAUGACGACAGAUGCCCGGAGUCAGGCUACGCCUAUUUAAACGGAGGUAGGUUCUCUAGUUUGUUGAUUUCCGGAGGUACGACGGAAGAAACCGACGACGACCCCCUGAAGUUAGAGUACAUUUCGACUCCUGAUUUCGUUACGAUCAUAGUUGUCCUCGACGAAUUGUUAAAGACCCGUCAAGAGUCGCGUUAACUCCAGAGACUUGAGGUGUGCCAGCUGCCAAAUGAACCCAGUCGUGGACAGUCAGCGUUUGUUCCUGCUUCUAACUAGUGCAAAAGACGGGGCGACUGACCUUAGAAUACAAGGGUGUUACAGUGAACUCUCCGUAGAGGAGGAGACCGAGGCUAGUGAGACGGUACCACGAGAGACCGGGUAACGACGUACCACUACGGUACACCUACGAGGUGGUCUUUGAACAAGCAGACCCGUUUCGAAACACCCAUACCUCGUCUUGUUUCCACCCGUUGUAACGAGACAAGUGACGCCACAGGCUCGUCGAAUAGGACCCGGACCUGAUACGGGUUCUAGUGACACUGGAGUGAUAACGUCUUAAUUCAGACUCCUAGAAGGAAGUCUUGUUCAACAACCUGGAACGACGUUAAGUGUCCCAGUCCUAGUCCGUCACAAGAGCCGACGAUACCCACGCGGGACCUCUCCAGUUGCGUUUUGAAAAGGUGUAGUUCCGGUUACCAGCGGCUACUGCAUUAAAGUAUUAGCGGGUUCCAGUAAAGUGAAACGUCUUUCUGUUCGUUCGACUCGAAGAAGCUGUUGACGUUCUCUAUACCUACAGUGUUCCGUUUAAGAUACACGAAAACCACUACGAUCACCAGAAGCCCAGUUAGUCCGGUUCUCACCUUAGGAUAGUAUAGGAGAUAGAACAGUAGGGGUGAUAAAUAAAUAGAAUCGUAAGUAUUACUGUACGGUAGUAAAAUAAGGAAAUUAAAAAUUCGCUAAGAAAACAACAGGCUAAGUUAUCGUUCAAUAUUGUGUUCGGAGGUCGGAAAAGGGGAAGGCACGGAAAAGGAUAGGGGGUGUUUUAUUAGUGUAGCGUGGGUGUAGUGAUAGGAAAGUCAACGGUUAGUUAGAGGGAAUUUGAGAGUGUAACCGAUGGGUAGAGUUGGUAUCAGCCGAACGAAGGUAGUGACCUGGACGGACUACAGCGUAGGUUACGAAGGCUCUAGGUCGGGUGCCACCUCUACACCUAAAUCAACCGCCGUUCCAAGGUACCCACCCUUAGCGAUUCCAUGCGACUUAGUGACCCGUAACGUCGGCGGCAACUGACGGAGGUGGCCAACGUAGUGUCACGCGUAGCAGCUGCAGCAGUUGGUUAGACGUUGGGAGUUGCCGUGGUGACAUUGUGUAACAACGGCCGCACUCCUUCACACGUUCGUGGUAACGUCUGGUUACCCACGGCAGAUAACUGCUGGCAUCGUAGGUGCGACCACGUCUAACUAUCGACUUCGCCUUUGUUUCCAGACUUACGGAAGCACCAUGACGGACCGUCUGCAAUGGAGUUUGCGAAGAUAUACCUUAAUCACCCGCUGCUUCACCUCUUUCCGCUUGUAGUUACUCGACGUGGAAAAGGACAAGAGAGGGGGCAUAAGAAGGGGAGGUAGACAGAGAAAGAUCCUCCCACCUCCUACCUAACAGCAACACAAUACGAGGUCGUUAUCAACUGUAACUAAUCCACACAAAUCUUGAAGUCUAUGCGAUUUAACAAACUAAUGGUACAAGUAGUACAGCGAACCUAGAAGGAAACCGGAGUUUUCAGGAGGGUGAUACAACACGAUUUAUGGUCGG
Molecule: ribosomal RNA, 5221 nt
Filed under: Triticum aestivum (bread wheat)
Lineage: Eukaryota; Viridiplantae; Streptophyta; Magnoliopsida; Poales; Poaceae
Description: partial small subunit ribosomal RNA
Source: RNAcentral